UAUUUAACCAAUCAUUGUUAACAGGAGUAGUCCCAGAAGAUUGGAAGUUAGCGAAUGUUGUGCCCAUUUACAAGAAAGGUAAUAGGGAGGAGUCGGGCAACUAUAGGCCAGUAAGCCUUAUUUCAGUAGUGGGGAAAGUGAUGGAAACCAUGUUAAAGGAUAGGAUUGAUGAACAUCUAAAAACACAUGGAUUUCAAGAUCAGAGACAAC
Pelobates cultripes (western spadefoot toad) is the source of this 210-nucleotide non-coding RNA. The record is from the annotation of a GenBank genome assembly. Lineage: Eukaryota; Metazoa; Chordata; Amphibia; Anura; Pelobatidae.